ACUUGCUAAAGCUGUUCUUUCCAUUGGGUGUUCAUUCUUUGGGCUUCAACUUCUUGUUUAUUUUAAAUGAAUCUAAUGUUAGAACUAUGUAUAUAAAUGAAAGCAAUGUGAUUUUGUUUUGUAAAUAAAUGCCGACAAAUAAGGCUUGUUGAAUGCAUUGUGAAUUAACACAGUGAUUAAUUUAUUCAAUGGCUAAUCAUGAUAUGAUCCAUGCACAUUAAUUUAUUCAAUGGCUAAUCAUGAUAUGAUCCAUGCACAAAGCCACAAUCUAGAAUAAAAGCAGAACCAGCAACUGGUGUUAGGCCAUAACCAUAGCUUGAGACACACUGGGACAGGACAGGCUUAUGAUCACAUACUAGGUUUAUGGCAUUAUCAUGAGAAAGAAGGGGAUGUUGGUCAUAUUUAUAGACAUGAUACAAGUUAGCUACUGAUUGAAAACCUGACUAUGCUGACCAUGAGUUGGCUUUAUCAUAGAAAAAUGAAUUCUCUGUUUCAAAAAACCAAGAGCUUGGCGAUAACCUGGAAUUGGCUGUGGUAGACAACCAGGAGAAGGGAACUGAUUUUGUCCGAGAUUUGCAGCACCAAAUUGUAUUUAGUUUCCCUCUUGUCCUUCGUACUCAAAAUUCAAUGAUAAGUUGCACUACUUCUAACAGGGUGGUAGAGUUUGCAAUAGUCCUUAGUUCACAUGGGAAAGAGGCUUAACGAUGGCAACCAACGUUUGUGGGAGACUAGACCAACGUGUGGUGAACUUGAACUGGUGGUCUCUUUUUGCACGCUUCUCAAUCCAGCACCAGGUAUACCCCCGUUUGGAUCACUACACAUUAAUCAUUUGUACUGAAGAUUUUAUUUCUCGAGCAGGACUAUCCAAUUCUACAAGGAAUUUCAGAAUGGAGACCUCUUGAGUUAUGGAGGAAAGCUGCCAAGGUGAGGUCGAGAGGUCAUGGCACCUUUCGAAUGGUACCAUUCUGGAAAAAAUAAAGGCUAUGGGAUCUUAAUUUAAUGAGUUGGUCCCAAGGGAUCCGUACUAAUCGAUCUAAACUCAAGAAGGAUCUCCAGAGGAAAUUGGAGUCAUUGCCCAAUCAGAUCUGACUACUGCAGUACUUGAAGAGACUAUAAAUUAAAUGUAAACUUGCAUUGCUGAUGAGAUUGACGAGGAAGGCUAUAUGGAAGAAAGAGCUCGAGCUAAUUGGUUAGCCAAGGGAGAUAAGAAUACUUGAUCUCCAAGACUCAUAAUCCCAAAAAUAUGGCUAAUUAUCG
RNAcentral lists this long non-coding RNA (1257 nucleotides) under Gossypium raimondii (Peruvian cotton). RNAcentral describes it as "long non-coding RNA (GRAI_LNC003288)". The record is from RNAcentral. Lineage: Eukaryota; Viridiplantae; Streptophyta; Magnoliopsida; Malvales; Malvaceae.